CCUACGGGAGGCAGCAGUGAGGAAUAUUGGUCAAUGGCCGCGAGGCUGAACCAGCCAAGUCGCGUGAGGGAAGACGGUCCUACGGAUUGUAAACCUCUUUUGUCGGGGAGCAAAAGACGCCACGCGUGGCGCUCCGAGAGUACCCGAAGAAAAAGCAUCGGCUAACUCCGUGCCAGCAGCCGCGGUAAUACGGAGGAUGCGAGCGUUAUCCGGAUUUAUUGGGUUUAAGGGGUGCGCAGGCGGAAGAUCAAGUCAGCGGUAAAAUUGCGGGGCUCAACCCCUUCGAGCCGUUGAAACUGGUUUUCUUGAGUGAGUGAGAGGUAGGCGGAAUGCGUGGUGUAGCGGUGAAAUGCAUAGAUAUCACGCAGAACUCCGAUUGCGAAGGCAGCAUACCGGCGCGCAACUGACGCUCAUGCACGAAAGUGUGGGUAUCGAACAGGAUUAGAUACCCGGGUAGUC
This 459-nucleotide ribosomal RNA is filed under the name uncultured bacterium. RNAcentral's name for it is "partial 16S ribosomal RNA". It matches the Rfam family "Bacterial small subunit ribosomal RNA", at positions 338 to 795 of the family's 1533-position model. The record is from RNAcentral.